This 77-nucleotide transfer RNA is filed under the name Cordylochernes scorpioides. RNAcentral describes it as "tRNA-Gly". The record is from RNAcentral. Lineage: Eukaryota; Metazoa; Arthropoda; Arachnida; Pseudoscorpiones; Chernetidae.
AACCAUCGGCCGGGAAUCGAACCCGGGGCGCCCGCGUGGCAAGCGAGCAUUCUAGCACUGAACCAAAGGCAAACGGU